This 398-nucleotide ribosomal RNA is filed under the name uncultured bacterium. RNAcentral describes it as "bacterial SSU rRNA". It matches the Rfam family "Bacterial small subunit ribosomal RNA", at positions 362 to 776 of the family's 1533-position model. The record is from RNAcentral.
UAUUGCACAAUGGAGGAAACUCUGAUGCAGUGACACCGCGUGCAGGAAGAAGGUUUUCGGAUUGUAAACUGCUUUAGACAGGGAAGAAACAAGACAGUACCUGUAGAAUAAGCUCCGGCUAACUACGUGCCAGCAGCCGCGGUAAUACGUAGGGGGCAAGCGUUAUCCGGAAUUACUGGGUGUAAAGGGAGCGUAGACGGUGAUGUAAGUCUGGAGUGAAAGGCGGGGGCCCAACCCCCGGACUGCUCUGGAAACUAUGUGACUGGAGUGCAGGAGAGGUGAGCGGAAUUCCUAGUGUAGCGGUGAAAUGCGUAGAUAUCAGGAGGAACACCAGUGGCGAAGGCGGCUCACUGGACUGUAACUGACGUUGAGGCUCGAAAGCGUGGGGAGCAAACAGG